AGCUGAAACGAAUAUGACUCGGAACUGUGAGGUUGUGGGUUCAACCCCUGGCCUUGCUCAGUGGGUUAAGGAUCCGGCAUUGCCAUGAGCUGUGGUGUAGGUCACGACGUGGCUCAGAUCCUGCAUUGCUAUGGCUGUGACAUAGGCCAGUGGCUGCGGCUCCGAUCAGAUCUCCAGCCUAGGAACCUCCAUAUGCCGCAGGUGCGGCCCUAAAAAGACAAAAAGACAAAAAAAAAAAAAAGUUAUUCAUGCACUGCCAUUGAACCCACAAUUCCUUGUGGUGAGUAUUACCCCUGUUCUCCACAAUUAGAAAAUGAAGCCGAGUGGGACACGAUCACUAAUCCAGAGUAAGGCAGCUUUUCAGUUGUGUUGUGAGGUUUGAACUCAACUCUGUUUUCUCUAAGGGACCGUGCAGGAGCCAGAGCUGUGGUGAGGCUCUGGGCAUCGUCUCAGUUACCCAGGCACAAAUUCACAGCCCCUGAAGGCUGGGCCUGAGUGAGAUGGGAAAAGUGAUCUAUUCUAGCCCCUCUUUCAGUUUAUAAACCUCCUCUGUCGUUUCCUCCAGCGAUGUCACCAAGCCCAAGUUUGAACAUCUCUGCUAACGGGACACCUGCUAUUUUUGCAGAGCUCAGAGCUAGGGAAAAGUAGGUCAGGCCAGAGCAGUAAAGCAAAAGAAAUGCCUGAGAAUCAGCUGGGAUGAGCACAGAGACGGCCAGUGGGGACAGGAGGGCAGGGAGAGGGGAACACCACUUCUUCAAAGGUCUUCCUUGCCAAUAGCAGCUCUUUUAUAUACAACCCCUCUCAAUGGAGGGUAUAAGUUAUGUUUUUUCAGGAGUUCCUAUGGUAGCUCAGUGGGUUAAGGACCCAACUAUUAUCCAUGAGUGGGUUCGAUCCCCAGCCUCACUCAGUGGGUUAAGGAUCUGGUGUUACCACAAGCUGCAGUGUAGGUUGAAGAUGUGGCUUGGAUCUGGCAUUGCUGUGGUUGUGGCAUAGGCCAGCAACUGCAGCUCCGAUUUGAUCCCAGCCUAAGAACUUCCAUAUGUUGCAAGUAUUGCCCUGAAAAGAAAAAAAAAGAUAUGUUUUUUCAAGGGACCAGUUCACCAUAGAAUCAGCUACUCUAACCCAGUAUAUUUUCCCCUUUUGCUUUGGCCACUAGGAAGCUCUUAGGUAAAUUACAUAUUCAAUCUCAGUUACUAAUCUGGUCCAGAAGCCUGAUGGUUUUUUCCCUAUCUCUCUCUCUUUCUUUCUUCCUUCCUUCCUUUUUUUUUUUUUCCUUGUGUGUGUGUGUGUGUUUCUAAGGCCCCACACAUAGCAUAGGGAGGUUCCCAGGCUAGGGCUCUAAUUGGAGCUAUAGCCACCGGUCCCAUAUGCGGCUUGGAUCUGGCAUUGCUGUGGCUGUGGCGUAGGUGGGCAGCUACAGCUCUAAUUCAGCCCCUAGCCUGGGGACUUCCAUAUGCAACAGGUGUGGCCCUAAUAAUAAUUAUUAUAAUAAAAUAAAAUAAAAGGAAUGGGUUAGAAAAAAGAAGAAAAUAGAAAAUGAAGGGACUGGAUCAGUGAUUCUUGACCCUGGCAGCCCAUUUGAACUGCCUGAGGAGCUUUGAAAAUGCGCUGGUGUCUGCGCCCCAUCCCAGGUCAAUUAAACGCAAUCUCUGAGGAUGGAUCCCAAAGCUUAUAAAACUUCAAGGUGAUCUGACUGGACGAUUAGGGCUGAGAACCCUGAACUAGCCCCUCAGUAAGGCCCAUUGCAAGAAGCCAUUCCAUCUGUCAUAGUGGAAAAACCAGGGCUUCGGAGCCAAGCAUAUGUGGGUUCUAAUCCCAGAUCUCUCUCCCGUUCCCCAGCAUCCUCAUCCAGCAAAGGAGGGGAUCAAGGCUCAGGGAAGUCCAAGGUCAUGCAGCUCUGAAGUGCUAUUGUAGGAGUUUGAAUCCAGUCCACAAUCUCAGGAGUAUUACAUCCUGGACAGGGCGAGGAGGUACAGCGGGCAGGUUUGUUCAGAGACCGUGGCUUCCCUGGUGUUCUGGACCGUCUGAGCCUCGGGGCAGGGGGGAGUCCAUCAGGGGUUCAUUCAUUCAUCCCUGUCCAGUGACUCACAGUUUGGGCAGCGGGUGUUGGGGCAGCAUGAGGUCACACAGACCUCAGCCAUCUCCUCACCUGGCACGUGCCGCGGCACCUCCAUACUCACUCUGCCCCAAGUCCUGAGCAUCAGCAGGCCAGUGUGGACAUGCUGGGCAGCUUGUGUGUGACUGGAGCAAUUGCAUCAGCUGCAAGAACAAAAACAAAUGCAGAAAGACUGACACCAACUUAAGGCACAAGCAGACCUUGCUUAAAACACCUGCUCCAUCACACGUGUGCCACAUGGUUAGCAGGUUGGGGCAUCUCUUUGAAAACACUGCAAAAUGCAUGUAAAAGGAUGGCUCAUGGGUCAUCCACCCCGCCUUUGACUGUGCGGUUCCCUCGCCUAGAGUGCCCUUCCCGUCUCUGCUUCUUGUAGGUCUCCAUUCAAAUGUUGCCUCUGCAGGAGUUCCCGUCGUGGUUCAGUGGUUAACGAAUCCAACUAGGAACCAUGAGGUUGCGGGUUCGAUCCCUGGCCUUGCUCAGUGGGUUAAGGAUCCGGUGUUGCCGUGAGCUGUGGUGUAGGUCACUGACGCAGCUCGGAUCUGGCGUUGCUGUGGCUCUGGUGUAGGCUGGUGGCUACAGCUCUGAUUNNNNNNNNNNNNNNNNNNNNNNNNNAAAAAAAAAAAAAAAAAAAAAAAAAAAAAAA
Molecule: long non-coding RNA, 2759 nt
Filed under: Sus scrofa (pig)
Lineage: Eukaryota; Metazoa; Chordata; Mammalia; Artiodactyla; Suidae
Description: lncRNA (ENSSSCG00040057058.1)
Source: RNAcentral